AACGAACGCUGGCGGCAUGCCUAACACAUGCAAGUCGAACGAGACCUUCGGGUCUUGUGGCGGACGGGGGGGUAACGCGGGGGAACCUGCCCGUAGGUUCGGUAUCACUCCCCUAAGGGGGUGCUAAUACCGGAGAAUCUCAUCGCGCCAAAGAUCUAUUGCUGUUGGGUGGGGGCGGGUUGGAUUAGCUGGUUGGUGGGGGAAAAGCAUACCAAGGGGAGGAUCCAUAGCUGGUCGGAGAGGAUGCUCUGCCACACUGGGACUGAGACACGGACCAGACCCCUACGCAAGGCAGCAGUGGGGAAUAUUAGACGAUGGGCGAAAGCCUGAUCCAGCAAUGCCGCGUGAGUGAUGAAGGCGUUAGGGUUGUAAAGCUGUUUUAGACGGGAUGAUAAUGACGGUACCGGGAGAAUAAGCUCCGGCUAACUACGUG
Molecule: ribosomal RNA, 433 nt
Filed under: uncultured bacterium
Lineage: Bacteria
Description: partial 16S ribosomal RNA
Rfam family: Bacterial small subunit ribosomal RNA
Source: RNAcentral